UCGAGGGGCAGCGGGGGAGUACAAUACUCCCGCCGGCGACCGGCGCACGGGUGAGUAACACGUAUGAAACCUGCCCGUAGCAGGGGGAUAAGCGGAAGAAAUUCCGUCUAAUACCGCGUAACAACCCAUGGAGGCAUCUCCGUGGGUUUAAAGGAAGCGAUUCCGGCUACGGAUGGUCAUGCGUCGCAUUAGCUAGUUGGCGGGGUAACGGCCCACCAAGGCGACGAUGCGUAGGGGUUCUGAGAGGAAGGUCCCCCACACUGGUACUGAGACACGGACCAGACUCCUACGGGAGGCAGCAGUGAGGAAUAUUGGUCAAUGGCCGCAGGGCUGAACCAGCCAAGUCGCGUGAGGGAUGACGGUCCUAUGGAUUGUAAACCUCUUUUGUCAGGGAGCAAAGGGCGCCACGUGUGGCGCUUUGCGAGUACCUGAAGAAAAAGCAUCGGCUAACUCCGUGCCAGCAGCCGCGGUAAUACGGAGGAUGCGAGCGUUAUCCGGAUUUAUUGGGUUUAAAGGGUGCGCAGGCGGAAUGUCAAGUCAGCGGUAAAAUUUCGGGGCUCAACCCCGUCGUGCCGUUGAAACUGGCGUUCUUGAGUGAGCGAGAAGUAUGCGGAAUGCGUGGUGUAGCGGUGAAAUGCAUAGAUAUCACGCAGAACUCCGAUUGCGAAGGCAGCAUACCGGCGCUCAACUGACGCUCAUGCACGAAAGCGUGGGUAU
Molecule: ribosomal RNA, 717 nt
Filed under: uncultured bacterium
Lineage: Bacteria
Description: bacterial SSU rRNA
Rfam family: Bacterial small subunit ribosomal RNA
Source: RNAcentral